Molecule: unclassified non-coding RNA, 391 nt
Filed under: soil metagenome
Description: partial contains 5.8S ribosomal RNA, internal transcribed spacer 2, and large subunit ribosomal RNA
Rfam family: 5.8S ribosomal RNA (bases 1-122)
Source: RNAcentral
GAUGAAGAACGUAGCGGAAUGCGAUACUUGGUGUGAAUUGCAGAAUCCCGUGAACCAUCGAGUCUUUGAACGCAAGUUGCGCCCGAAGCCAUUAGGCCGAGGGCACGCCUGCCUGGGCGUCACACGUCGUUGCCCCCCCAUCUACUCCUUCGGGAUUGCGGGGGGCGGAUGAUGGCCUCCCGUGCGCCUCGUCGCGCGGUUGGCAUAAAUGCCAAGUCCUCGGCGACACACGCCACGACAAUCGGUGGUUGCGAAACCUCGGUUGCCCGUCGUGUGCGGUCGUCGCGCAUCGAGGGCUCGAAAAAAUUGCCGGGCUCCGGCUCGGCUUUCAACGCGACCCCAGGUCAGGCGGGGUUACCCGCUGAAUUUAAGCAUAUCAAUAAGCGGAGGA